Molecule: unclassified non-coding RNA, 496 nt
Filed under: uncultured Paraglomus
Lineage: Eukaryota; Fungi; Glomeromycota; Glomeromycetes; Paraglomerales; Paraglomeraceae
Description: SSU rRNA
Rfam family: Eukaryotic small subunit ribosomal RNA
Source: RNAcentral
CCAAUAGCGUAUAUUAAAGUUGUUGUGGUUAAAAAGCUCGUAGUUGAACCUUGGGCCUGGCUGGCCGGUCCGCCUCACCGCGUGUACUGGUCCGGCCGGGCCUUUCCCUCUGUGGAACCUCAUGCCCUUCACUGGGUGUGACGGGGAAGCAGGACUUUUACUGUGAAAAAAUUAGAGUGCUCCAAGCAGGCCUAUGCUCGAAUACAUUAGCAUGGAAUAAUGAAAUAGGACGUGCGGUUCUAUUUUGUUGGUUUCUAGGACCGCCGUAAUGAUUAAUAGGGACAGUCGGGGGAAUCAGUAUUCAAUUGUCAGAGGUGAAAUUCUUGGAUUUAUUGAAGACUAACUACUGCGAAAGCAUUUGCCAAGGAUGUUUUCAUUAAUCAGGAACGAAAGUUAGGGGAUCGAAGACGAUCAGAUACCGUCGUAGUCUUAACCAUAAACUAUGCCAGCCAGCGAUCCGGCUGUGUUCCUCAAAUGACACGCCGGGCAGCUUCCG